RNAcentral lists this ribosomal RNA (497 nucleotides) under uncultured bacterium. Its description in RNAcentral is "partial 16S ribosomal RNA". It matches the Rfam family "Bacterial small subunit ribosomal RNA", at positions 28 to 507 of the family's 1533-position model. The record is from RNAcentral.
GAUGAACGCUGGCGGCGUGCCUAAUACAUGCAAGUCGAGCGAACAGACGAGGAGCUUGCUCCUCUGACGUUAGCGGCGGACGGGUGAGUAACACGUGGAUAACCUACCUAUAAGACUGGGAUAACUUCGGGAAACCGGAGCUAAUACCGGAUAAUAUAUUGAACCGCAUGGUUCAAUAGUUAAAGACGGUUUUGCUGUCUCUUAUAGAUGGAUCCGCGCCGCAUUAGCUAGUUGGUAAGGUAACGGCUUACCAAGUCAACGAUGCGUAGCCGACCUGAGAGGGUGAUCGGCAACACUGGAACGGAGACACGGUCCAGACUACUACGGGAGGAAGCAGUAGGGAAUCUUCCGCAAUGGGCGAAAGCUUGACGGAGCAACGCCGCGUGAGUGAUGAAGGUCUUCGGAUCGUAAAACUCUGUUAUUAGGGAAGAACAAAUGUGUAAGUAACUAUGCACGUCUUGACGGUACCUAAUCAGAAAGCCACGGCUAACUACGUG